UCGAAAAUCGAAGUGAUUCUGUGAAUUUUACGGGAAGUGGUCCGUUGUUCGACCAGAAGACAAGCCAGACCUCUCUCAUUUAUCAAUUUAGAUCCACUUCCACUUGUCUACACUUGCAUUACAAAUUCACAAAUCUGGAGACCCAUUUUGAGUUUCUGACCAAUGGUGCCUUAUAUGGAAUGACAUAACUACUUUUACCAACCUCAGAUUUUGGUUUGACUCUAACAUUUAUCAGUUUGAGGUGUGUGUGUGCUCAUACACAUACACAAUCCCUUCGCAAUCCACAGGUUGCGUCCUUUGUGCACUAAAAUACAGAGUGGAGCUUUCAAAGGUUUUGCCGAACAAUAAAGAAAUGCUGAAAAUUUACAGAUCUGAUACAUUCUAUUUCAUCCCUUUACUGACUUGGAUCACACUCAAAACCACUAGUUACCAUUGUCAGGCUCCAAAAAAGCAAGCCAACCAAUUUACUUCAUGAAGCAAUGGAAAUGGAGAGCACUCGAUGCAGUUACAAACUCAGGCACUUGUUGGAACCAAGUCGCAAGCUAAUCGGUUCAUACCUGCUGCGUCAACCAUGCAUACUGGCUACAGGUUGAUUAGUUAAACAACGGAUAGACAAAGGCGAAAUCUCAAAUAUUUAAAAAAUGGCUAGAUUUAUCAGUACAACUUUGCAAAAUUUGAAGACUUAGUCAAGCUGUUUUGUCCAGUCAAAAGGUUCCCAAUCUCGUGCGAAAUUUGCAACUGCCUGCUUUUGCGACUCUACUGACUCGUGCCUUCUGCGACGAAACAUAUCUUCCUCUGGCAAACGUAGCAUGCCUCUUAUUACAUUUAAGCCAAGGCUACUCUUAAACUGUGUCUCGUCGUCAAUCACGUGGACAAAACCCUUGUUUAGGCCAAACUCAACAUGGAAGUAAGGGAAGUCCUUGGGAAUUGAACCUCGCAAUCCCUUCACACUAGUAUCGAUCAGCUUCUUUGCAUUGUGCUGGCUCCACUCAUCUUCAGCUUCAUCAAUUGCCUUUUUAAAAUAUAGAGGGGCCUGUUUAGCAAUUUCUCGUGGCAGAGGAAUGCACUCAAUUAAACAAUGACGACGCUGCUGCGCCAACCCCAUCACUGUUUCAAGAAAAACUAAAUCCUUGUCUUGCUGGGCAAACAUCAUCAUAAGGCAUUUCUUGAAAUUGCGAAUUUCUUCCCAUACAUUAUUGUCAACAAUCCUUGUGGCUGAUUCAUGCUGCAUUGGUAAGAUACAACAAUGGCCUGGAACAACAGACUGCCACUGUGGCAACAUCAAAUAUGUGAAGUUUGCAAUAGACACAACAAGAUGUUUUGGCCGGUUUGGAUUCUCAAAGCAAAAAAGGCAUCGCUCUUGCUGAGUCAGGAUUCGCUUUGCAAGAACACUUUUCUCCUUGGACUUCGGAUCAUUACCUACUCCCUUCCUCCUAGACUUUCGGCCUGGGCCAUCUUCGAAAUCAUAUUCAUCAUCUGCCCGACCAGAUAAACUAUAUUGUUUAUUCUGGAUUAUUUUUUGAGCUAGAUGCUUAUCAGCGUCAUCUUCCUUUUUUCGGGCAGAAAUACCUUGAAUAUCAUAACUGUUGGUGCUUCUGAUAUUUUGAGGUCUACUUGAAUUUUCUCCAGAACUUUGCUUUACCAUUAUUUUCUCAGCCUCUUGCAUGAGUUUAUCAGCUUCUUCAUGCUUCCCUUUCAUACGAAGCUGCAAAGCCUUGGCUGCCAGCUGGUUUGCACUCGAUGCUUCCUUAACAGCUGUGAUGCCUUCACCAGGUCUCUUCAUUUCAAAUGAAGCAUCUACAUUCUCAUCUUGAUUUAUGUGGGAACCAACAGAAUCAGGAAGAUCAUUAUUCUGCUGACUAAGAAGUUUGCUCAUAAAGCUUCCAUCAUCAGCAAACUUAUUUAAGCUAGAAACUGCAGCAUUAAUGAGGCCAGCAUCCUUAGCAGACACAUUUUGACUUUUUCGUUUUCCCCAGGACAAAGAAUCAUGUACUUUGGGAGCUCUCAUUUCAGGAUGUCGGACAGAUACAUCCUUUAAGUAGUCUCGACCAGCAUUCUUUUCUACAGCUUUCUCACUUUGACCAUCAGCAUCAGUUUGGUGUUCCCCUACUAACCCCCUCUGUCUAGUUUUUAUGGCUUGUAGAUGAGCACGAGCCGGGGCAGCUGUCUGAGAAACAGCAGAGACAGCCAAAAGACCAAGAGAACCCCAUCUUUCUUCCACAACCUCUUCAAGUUUUCUUCCCUCUCGGGCUGCUUGCUCUUUUGCACGCUUCAAGGCUUUUAGUCUCCAGCUUGCACCUCCAUCCCCAACAAGCGAAGAAGAAGGAAGUCGAUGUCCACCUGCUCUUUUCUCUUCUGCAUCAUCUGGAUAACCACUUCCAUUAUCCUUCAGAUAUGGAUUCAAUUCCCUGGGAUUCACUCUAUUCAUCUCCUGAACAGGUGGUUUCUCUGGCUGGUCAUCAACAUUCACUGCAGGCCUUCCAUCGGACUUGUCUGCAGGUCUAAGCAUCCAAUCCAAACCCAUUUCUUUUCUUGUAAUUUCUAUCUUCUCAGGAAAAUCAUUGCCAACUUCCUUUUCCUCUCUUUCCUCCUUUCUCUUCCUUCCACCUUUUCCCUCGUCUUCAGAGGCAGAUGAUGAAUAUUCCAUGGCUGAGUAAUGCUUCUUACCACUUCUUGAUCUCUUCUUUGACCUAUUGCUAUCCUCAUUCUCAGAACUAUAAUGAUUUCUUCUCUUAUUCUUUCUUUUAUUCCUUUGUUUCUUUUCAUUCCGGUCAGAACUGUCAUCACUGCUAUUACUAUCACUUAAAUCUGGUGAUGAAUUUUCAUCAGAAGAGUGCCAUUUCUUCUUUUUCCUAGAUACUUUUUUUAUUCUCCCACCAUCAUCCUCUGAACUACUGCUAUAUCGCGAACUCUUUUUAUUUUUCCUAUUUUUUUCCCUUGUACUCCCUGAGUUUUUACUCUUUUCUAUAGAAGCACCCCCAUCUUCAUCUUCUGCCUAUCAUGAUAAUGCAAAAUAUGAGCAAAGAAAACGCUUCUAAUCUAAAAUAAAAUGAGCAGAUCAAAAGCUUACUUGGUCGCGGGGUAUGAACUUGAUCCCGGAAAGCAUAUUUAUUUUUCAACAGUGUAAAAAAGUGUCCUGCUUACUCAAAAGCAGAACAUAUAAUAAACAAUUGGGAAUGGGAUUUCAAAACAGGUACAGAACCAGAAUCAUACAGAAAAAAAAACACAAUUUGAAUAUUCAUACAAGAAUUCGAAUUUAAAAAAUUGCGAUAAAUUCAGCUAUAUAGCAAACAAUCCAAAAAAGUAUAAUUUUUAGGUCAGAUUUAUUGCUCUACAUCCUCAAAACUUAGAAACGAAUGGUGAAUUCCCAAAAUCAGAGAAGAAUAAGAACAAAAAUAAAUACAAUGGAUGGAAAAUAGUGGAAGAACAAGCUCAUAAGCUAAAAUCACAUCUGAAAAAAAAAACAAUUAGAAGCAAAAUUUCUCUGCAAAUUCAAAAAUCCACAUCGGGUACUGAGGUUUUAAUUUUCCCUUACCUACAGUGCGUCCUACGCAGCAACUCUGAGGCUACGAACUUGGAAUUUAGUCCGUUCUUUGUAUCUCGGAUUCUUGGUUGUCUUCUGUUCUUUCUCCUCCUACGCAGUAGCGGUUUCUCGCUCUUUGUCCGGCCUGCUGCUUGAUC
This 3681-nucleotide unclassified non-coding RNA is filed under the name Hevea brasiliensis (rubber tree). Lineage: Eukaryota; Viridiplantae; Streptophyta; Magnoliopsida; Malpighiales; Euphorbiaceae. The record is from RNAcentral.